GACAAACGCUGGCGGCGUGCCUAAUACAUGCAAGUCGAACGAGUGGCGGACGGGUGAGUAAUGUCUGGGAAACCGCCUGAUGGAGGGGGAUAACUACUGGAAACGGUAGCUAAUACCGCAUACCAUCGGAUGUGCCCAGAUGGGAUUAGCUAGUAGGUGGGGUAAAGGCUCACCUCGGCGACGAUCCCUCGCUGGUCUGAGAGGAUGACCAGCCACACUGUAACUGAGCCACGGUCCAGACUCCUACGGGAGGCAGCAGUGGGGAAUAUUGCACAAUGGGCGCAGGCCUGAUGCAGCCAUGGCGCGUGUAUGAAGAAGGCCUUCGGGUUGUAAAGUACUUUCAGCGGGGAGUCGUUACCCGCAGAAGAAGCACCGGCUAACUCCGUGCCAGCAGCCGCGGUAAUAC
RNAcentral lists this ribosomal RNA (406 nucleotides) under uncultured bacterium. RNAcentral's name for it is "partial 16S ribosomal RNA". It matches the Rfam family "Bacterial small subunit ribosomal RNA", at positions 28 to 526 of the family's 1533-position model. The record is from RNAcentral.